Molecule: long non-coding RNA, 105 nt
Organism: Lontra canadensis (Northern American river otter)
Lineage: Eukaryota; Metazoa; Chordata; Mammalia; Carnivora; Mustelidae
Exons: 3
Source: RefSeq, a predicted model, not a curated record
UCCAAGGAUCUUUCUGCAAAGCCCAUCUAUAAAUAUCUUCUGGAACCACCAUGUCCAAGAGCCUUGUCUACUUGUUUAUCACUGAAACUCCAAAACCUAGCUCAG